Molecule: transfer RNA, 72 nt
Filed under: Bos taurus (domestic cattle)
Lineage: Eukaryota; Metazoa; Chordata; Mammalia; Artiodactyla; Bovidae
Also listed under: 1 other name
Rfam family: tRNA
About the family: Transfer RNA (tRNA) molecules are approximately 80 nucleotides in length. Their secondary structure includes four short double-helical elements and three loops (D, anti-codon, and T loops). Further hydrogen bonds mediate the characteristic L-shaped molecular structure. tRNAs have two regions of fundamental functional importance: the anti-codon, which is responsible for specific mRNA codon recognition, and the 3' end, to which the tRNAs corresponding amino acid is attached (by aminoacyl-tRNA synthetases). tRNAs cope with the degeneracy of the genetic code in two manners: having more than one tRNA (with a specific anti-codon) for a particular amino acid; and 'wobble' base-pairing, i.e. permitting non-standard base-pairing at the 3rd anti-codon position.
Source: Rfam by way of RNAcentral
UCCCAGGUAGCUUAGAGGUAAAGAAUCUGCCUGCCAGUGUAGGAGAUGCGGAUUCGAGCCCUGGCCUGGGAA